RNAcentral lists this transfer RNA (76 nucleotides) under Bacilli bacterium. Its description in RNAcentral is "tRNA-Lys". It matches the Rfam family "tRNA". From Rfam's summary of the family: Transfer RNA (tRNA) molecules are approximately 80 nucleotides in length. Lineage: Bacteria; Bacillati; Bacillota; Bacilli. The record is from RNAcentral.
GAGCCAUUAGCUCAGUCGGUAGAGCAUCUGACUUUUAAUCAGAGGGUCGAAGGUUCGAAUCCUUCAUGGUUCACCA